RNAcentral lists this ribosomal RNA (301 nucleotides) under uncultured bacterium. Its description in RNAcentral is "partial 16S ribosomal RNA". It matches the Rfam family "Bacterial small subunit ribosomal RNA", at positions 509 to 807 of the family's 1533-position model. The record is from RNAcentral.
CAGUCGCCACGGUAAUACGUAGGUGGCAAGCGUUGUCCGGAAUUAUUGGGCGUAAAGGGCUCGCAGGCGGUUUCUUAAGUCUGAUGUGAAAGCCCCCGGCUCAACCGGGGAGGGUCAUUGGAAACUGGGAAACUUGAGUGCAGAAGAGGAGAGUGGAAUUCCACGUGUAGCGGUGAAAUGCGUAGAGAUGUGGAGGAACACCAGUGGCGAAGGCGACUCUCUGGUCUGUAACUGACGCUGAGGAGCGAAAGCGUGGGGAGCAAACAGGAUUAGAUACCCCGGUAGUCCCUGUCUCUUAUAC